GGUGACUUGAUUACAGUGCAUAAAUACCUUCCUGGGGAGAAAACACCAGGUCCUGAAGAGCUCUCCAAUCUCUUCAGAAAAGGUCAGCUCCAGCUUGCUGACAGACACGAGGUGAGCUGAUGCCUGACGCUAUGUGGAGACCGAUGUGGCUUUACAAAAACCAGCCUUGGAUGAUGCCUGGGUACAGGGGCACCUUGAUCUGGAGAAGAGUCUGCCGCAGGGAUGGGAUUGAGUGUGCUCUCAUCAUGGCCCUGCAGGGAUACUGCAAGGGAUUUCCUUAUGCCCUUGGAAGACCUGAUCCCGAGCUGCUGGAGUUGGAGGACCUGAUCCUAACCUGCUGGAGUUGACGGGAAUCUUUCCAAAUGGCCCAUCAUGUGAGGCCACGGAUAGGAAAUCAGCACAGAUUUCUCUGCUCUCUCUUUCUCGGCUGCUAAUACCUGCAUCCAUGCUAGUGAAGCUGCAAAUGUGACCCAAUACAGUGCUAAUGCUCCUGUAGUAGUGACCGACCUUGAGGAAGCCACUGAGCCUACCUCAUGCCCAGCUGCCCCAUCUAGCAGGGGGCAAGGAACCUGCAUCCCGGCCUCCGUUGCUGAGACAAUAAACUUCAUCCCUAACCAGACGUGCCCACCCUGUGCAACCUGCCCUACACAAGGUGACUGCCAUAGGCACUAGCCCAGCUGACACCAGAAUCUCUUUGUUGAGGAAGCCAUAACUUGUGUGAGUGAGCUAUUUCCAGGGGCCUGAAAAGGGCCAGGAGGAUCAGGGAGCUGGUGCGGGGAUGGGAAGGGCCAGGCAUCUCCCCUGAGCACUCAGCAGCCCCCAUAUGAGAGGGGAAGCCUAACACGCGUGCGCCCGGCUCAGCGUCAGCGUGAAGGGGGCUGUCAAACAACAUCAUUUAUCUCCUCUGGCAGAUCAAUCAGAGGCCAGAAGUCAAAUCUGCCUUAUGUGGAAAAUAUACUGUGGUGCAUAAUUAUCCCCGAGAAUG
Alligator sinensis (Chinese alligator) is the source of this 985-nucleotide long non-coding RNA. RefSeq lists it as uncharacterized. The transcript is spliced from 3 exons. The record is from RefSeq and is a predicted model, not a curated record. NCBI's taxonomy places the organism in Eukaryota, Metazoa, Chordata, Crocodylia, Alligatoridae.